AAGGCUUUAUUGGCACCUGGGUUGCAACAGGAGGGAGCGAAAACAAGUAACAGACAUUUGUCCAUGUGCAAGCACUGCAGCAAAGGGUCUCAGGUCCCAGAUUUCCGGUCCCAGCCUGUCUCCUAAUCAGAAAUUGUUAAGAGGCCAGAUGAAGAAUUCAGACAUGGCUUUACUGGGACUCUUGCUGCACCUGGAAGAACCCUGCCAAUAUUGUACCUCAGUCUUCAAGGAACACAGAACCAAAGACUUCGAGAAGAUCUGUCUACUCACAAACAUAACAGCUAUGGAAAGUCACUAAUUAAAAACUAGGUGUAUUCUUUACUGCUGAACCAUCGGGAGUGCUGCUGCUGCUACUAAGUCACUUCAGUCAUGUCCAACUCUGUGCGACCCCAUAGACGGAAGCCCACCAGGCUCCCCCGUCCCUGGGAUUCUCCAGGCAAGAACACUGGAGUGGGUUGCCAUUUCCUUCUCCAGUGCAUGAAAGUGAAAAGUGAAAGUGAAGUCGCUCAGUCCUGUCUGACUUUUAGCGACCCCAUGGACUGCAGCCUACCAGGCUCCUCUGCCCAUGGGAUUUUCCAGGCAAGAGUACUGGAGUGGGGUGCCAUUGCCUUCUCCGGCCACCAGGAGUUACCUCUGGCCAAAUUCACUUAACAACUUCAUCUCUUUCCACUCCUCCUUGGCAUCCUAAUUUAUACCCUCAAUGAAAUAACAGGCCAUAAACCUUUGCAUCUGUGUUUUCCUAUAGAACUUUGUUUAUACUUUAACAUAAACGUUUCCUUUUUAUGUAUUCAUGUUCUUAGCCAGAUUAGGAACUUCAUGAUGACACAGACUAUGUCUUAAUUCAGGCAGUUAUAAAUGUGAACUAUACUUAUAUUGUUUUAAUUCCUGGGGGCCCUACAUAUAUUUAGUCUCUAAAAGUGGAACGUGUCAAGGCAAUAUAUAACAAAAGGAUUCCCUUGCCAAUGAGUUAGCUUUUAGUCUUUGAGAAAUAUGAUCAAAUUAAAAAGCCAUCAAGGACAUUAACUAAACUUGUGGUAAUCACCUCACAGUAUAUGCAUAUAUCAAAUCAUUGUGCUGCGCAUCUUAAACUUAUACAGUUUAAGUUUAAACUUAUAAGUCUUGGG
Molecule: long non-coding RNA, 1124 nt
Organism: Bos taurus (domestic cattle)
Lineage: Eukaryota; Metazoa; Chordata; Mammalia; Artiodactyla; Bovidae
Source: Ensembl